Molecule: non-coding RNA, 69 nt
Organism: Rattus norvegicus (Norway rat)
Lineage: Eukaryota; Metazoa; Chordata; Mammalia; Rodentia; Muridae
Source: Rfam
GGGGAUUUAGCUCAGUGGUAGAGCACUUGCCUAGCAAGCACAAGGUCCUGGGUUCGGUCCCCAGCUCUG